Long non-coding RNA from Cyprinodon variegatus (sheepshead minnow), 508 nucleotides. RefSeq lists it as uncharacterized. NCBI's taxonomy places the organism in Eukaryota, Metazoa, Chordata, Actinopteri, Cyprinodontiformes, Cyprinodontidae. The transcript is spliced from 5 exons. The record is from RefSeq and is a predicted model, not a curated record.
ACUGUCUCUUAAUCAUCAGGGUCUGAGUUCCCUCAGUGUAAAGUGACUGAUACUGUUACUGAUGAAGAGUUUACCUUCAGUCUUCAGUCCUCAGAAAUAUCAGGAGGAAAAGUUCAACCAACAAACAAACCUGGAAACAAAAACUCAAAGACAACCAGACCAGAAACAGAAAAUAUCUCACCAACCUUUCAAGGAAACAAGGACCCAAAGCAAACAGUUGGGAGCAGGAGAACUUCUGUCACAACAAAUCAAGGUUUAUGGCGUAUCAUCAUCGUCUCUGUGGGUUUAGCAGCUCUUUCUAUAACGGUUGUGAGCGUCAGCGUUUGGACCAGAACUAAAGAGCAUAAAGAAGAUGAUGAUGGAGAGAACUAUGAAAACACCUGAGGACUCUUUAGUUUGACCAAAUAUACACAGCCUUGGCUUUAGAUUUAUACAGAUUUGUGUUUUGAAAAGUUUAAAGCAGAGUAUAUUUCACUUCAACAUGGAGAAAAGCAAAUAUCACCUUAAA